RNAcentral lists this ribosomal RNA (420 nucleotides) under Pediococcus sp. MUU13. RNAcentral's name for it is "bacterial SSU rRNA". It matches the Rfam family "Bacterial small subunit ribosomal RNA", at positions 233 to 645 of the family's 1533-position model. The record is from RNAcentral. Lineage: Bacteria; Bacillati; Bacillota; Bacilli; Lactobacillales; Lactobacillaceae.
GCGGCGUAUUAGCUAGUUGGUGAGAUAAAGGCUCACCAAGGCAGUGAUACGUAGCCGACCUGAGAGGGUAAUCGGCCACAUUGGGACUGAGACACGGCCCAGACUCCUACGGGAGGCAGCAGUAGGGAAUCUUCCACAAUGGACGAAAGUCUGAUGGAGCAACGCCGCGUGAGUGAUGAAGGCUUUAGGGUCGUAAAACUCUGUUGUUGGAGAAGAACGUGUGUGAGAGUAACUGCUCAUGCAGUGACGGUAUCCAACCAGAAAGCCACGGCUAACUACGUGCCAGCAGCCGCGGUAAUACGUAGGUGGCAAGCGUUAUCCGGAUUUAUUGGGCGUAAAGCGAGCGCAGGCGGUCUUUUAAGUCUAAUGUGAAAGCCUUCGGCUUAACCGAAGAAGUGCAUUGGAAACUGGAAGACUUGA